UCACACAGCCUUAGUCAUUUCUUUGUUUUCUUUUUUUUUUUUUUUUUUUUUUUUUUUUGGAUUUUUAAUGUGUUGUUCAAAUUGAAAAAUGAAAUCUUUAAAGGUGCCAAAACCGAAUGAUCCUAUACUUGGAUGCAUCAAGUCCUGAUGAAUAAAAUACGAACCCUAGGGGGAACAAAUCACCAUGUUUCACUGCGUGUCUCUAACACACCUUCCCCUUAUAACACCUUAUUUGUGAGUUUGUCAGCACUAACACUUGUCUGUCUGUCGCAUCAUCGUGUCUGUUGAGCUGUUUCCUUUUCAUGGACGGCUGUAGAACGGAGGAGUUGAUCACAGUUCUUUUUGAAAAUGAAGCAUCGCAGGUUAUUCAAUCAAAUAAGUUACUUAUUUUUUAGUUUGCUUCAUUUUGUCAUUGCAGUCAUUUUGGUUUUCUUCUUUGAAUGUUUUUUUUUUUUCUUUCAACUGUUAUCGCAUGACAGAUUUUCUCGCUGUCAUGAUGAUGUCCGCAACAACUUGCUCUGUUUACUGAUGACGAACCAACGAGAUGCGACCAACAGUUCCGGACAAACUAGUGAGUUGACGCCGAGUGAAGAGUGUGAUUACUUUUCACCCUCAAAAUGUAGCUGCGUCCAAUAAAACAUUUUCAUUCUUACUCCUCAAAAAUCAGCCCAUCACGUCUCAGUGCCGUCGUGGGCAAACAAGUUCGCCCAGAAAAUACAAGUUCAGUUUUUAUCUGCUCCCCACCAUGCCAAUGGAAAGUCAGGUGAAGUUUCGUAGUCCAGAAUUCAGACAUGAAUUGAGAUUGUAGAAAUGUUUGCAAAUCAAAGGACUGUUCGGGGAUUGAGUUUAGAAUAAGGCUCGUCAGAUAGCUGAAACAUGACUGGAGAUCUUCCAGAGGGUUCCUUUCAGACGGCAGAUGCUUGCGGGUGCUAUGAGUUAUGAUUUCUGCGGCUUUCCAAAACCAACAAUCCAACGCUGCCACCCGCUUCACAAAGCGACUGGUUGGGUGUGCGGAGGUAUUAAAGUAAGAAAGGUUUCGACUUUGUUCUCAACAAGCUCUCUCUUUUCAGCGUUUGCACAAAUAUGUCUGUCACUUUUUUCUACGCGUACAUGACUCCAACGCUCUGAAUGCCACCCAGGAGAGGUUGAAACUGUGCGCUGGUAUCCCCAUUAUUUAAUGAUUCAGUGCAUCUCAACCGUCUGUGUCACUGCCGGCUUUUAAUCCUGUCAAAGCUGCUCAAAGCAGGUUUUGCUUUUCAGAGUGGUUGGGCAACAUGUCAUACGAACUUAUUCUUUUUGAGAAUGCGGGGUAUGCAUGAGUAUAACUGGUGUGUGCAAGGUGUAUGGUCGUGCAAACGUCUUGAUAUGUGUUACGAAGGUGGUGCCAAACACCAGCCAGGUAUUCACGGUGUUGCACUCAAUUGUACGUAGAUGUAGUUGUGUAAAGAAUGAGAAACAAUUUAAAAUCUUGCGCCCCCAGUGCCGACUUUCUCACCUCCAGUCGUUUGCUAUGUACAGUUACCUUUGCCGGUUAGAUUGUAACUUUUGGGAAAGUUUGUCAGACACAAUCUCUCAAAUUCUAAUGUCAGAAAAAGGGUGUCACUGAAGAGUGAUUCACGUACUACAGAAGGAUUCAACAAUCACUUUGAAGCAUAUCCAUGUUUUUAAUUUAAAGGAUAGGGAAAGCAUUAUAUUACUAAGUGUGUUUGUGUUCUUCUAUCUCAGAUAGCAUAGACACGAAACAAAGAUAUAUUUUCAGAAACAGGCUCUACAAUGGCCCUUUUUUUUCCGACACUGAAUGAUAUCACCACAGAAUAUUGGCACCAGCCUUCAUACAUCAGCCUUUAUACAGCCAUAAAAAAUAAAAGCUGAGUUGUCAGACAUAAAACCCUGUGUGCUCUGCUAAAACCACAGCCUCUGCCUGCCGUUGUAAAAUGGUGAUAACACGCUGUAAUCUACUACUGGGAGUCACAAUCCAAAGAUAUCAGAAACUGGCCCUCAAAUGCCCGACAAACUCCAGUGGCGACAUCAGUGUGUGUGCGUGUAAGUGGAUUAAUAGAGUCAGAAAACUCUCCCUGCAACUUCCUGCCAAUUAUAGAAGCAUAAGACCGAGUUUGAUGUAUGUAUCAAUACCAGGUUUUCACAGUAAAUUCUCAUGGUAAACUACUGUAAUUAUGCUUUUGCAAUGCAUGGUGGGUAAUUAUUUGGAAUAUUGUAACACUACUAAGGAAAUACUGUAUUUAGGAUUAAGCCCCAUCCAGUAAAUGAGCGAUCAGAAUGUUGCAGUUUUAUAACAAGACGCAGAUGCUAAUAUGCCAAAAAGCUAACAACAUGCUACGAGUCUAACAUGCUAACAACAGGCUAACAGGUCUACAAGUGGUCCACCAGUGUACACAUGCUAACAACAGGCUCACAUGCUAAAAUGCUUACAUCUGGCUUAAAGGCCUACAAGUGGUCCAACAAAGGAAUACAUGCUAACAUGCUCACCUACUAACAACAGGCCUAGAAGUUGUCCAAGAAGGUACUCGUGCCAACAGGCCGAAAGGCUAGCAUGCUAACAAGCAACUGGGUUAACAUCCCUGCUGGAAAACCCAGCAUUGACCAGCACCAAAACACAACAUAUGCUGGUCUUGCUAGUGACUGGUCACCAACAAGACCAGCUGGUUUUGGUGCUGGUCUAUGCUGGGUUUUCCAGCAGGGAGUACAUUGCUGUAACAUCACUGUGCAACUGCAGAUUCCUACAACAGGAUGGCAGUUUUGACUCUUGCUGCGCAGGUAUUUUACUCACCAGUGGGACUCAGCCAUGGCAUCUCUCUAGGACAUUCCUGAGAAAGAAACACAGGUUGAUUCACUGUGCAGGUGUGGGAUGAAGAAGCCAACCCUCCUCCUCCUCCUCCUCCUCCUCUUCCUCUGGCUGCUCACAGAGGGAGGUGGUAUCCAGAGGAAGCGAGGCAUGCCCUUGAAGAGUCAAACCUGUUCUUUUUUUCUUUUCUUUUUUUUUUUGGCAGGCUAACAGAGUUGGACACUGCACCGUGAUGUCAGGGAGGGUCACGGCGAGCGCUCCAGUGCUAAUACUAAUGAUAUUAGCGCUGUAGGUCUCUGAACUAAUGAUGGCUACACCCACAGCUGCACCAUACAGCCAGAGCAUGGCCCCAUAACGCUCGGAGGCCAGAU
Acanthopagrus latus (yellowfin seabream) is the source of this 3174-nucleotide long non-coding RNA. RefSeq lists it as uncharacterized. The transcript has 3 exons. The record is from RefSeq and is a predicted model, not a curated record. Lineage: Eukaryota; Metazoa; Chordata; Actinopteri; Spariformes; Sparidae.